RNAcentral lists this ribosomal RNA (254 nucleotides) under uncultured bacterium. RNAcentral's name for it is "partial 16S ribosomal RNA". It matches the Rfam family "Bacterial small subunit ribosomal RNA", at positions 524 to 776 of the family's 1533-position model. The record is from RNAcentral.
UACGUAGGGUGCGAGCGUUGUCCGGAAUUAUUGGGCGUAAAGAGCUCGUAGGCGGUGUGUCACGUCGGCCGUGAAAACCUGCAGCUUAACUGUGGGCGUGCGGUCGAUACGGGCAUCACUGGAGUUCGGCAGGGGAGACUGGAAUUCCUGGUGUAUCGGUGAAAUGCGCAGAUAUCAGGAGGAACACCGGUGGCGAAGGCGGGUCUCUGGGCCGAUACUGACGCUGAGGAGCGAAAGCGUGGGGAGCAAACAGG